GAUGAAGGCUGGCGGCGUGCCUAAUACAUGCAAGUCGAGCGAACAGACGAGGAGCUUGCUCCUCUGACGUUAGCGACGGACGGGUGAGUAACACGUGGAUAACCCACCUAUAAGACUGGGAUAACUUCGGGAAACCGGAGCUAAUACCGGAUAGUAUAUUGAACCGCAUGGUUCAAUAGUGAAAGACGGUUUUGCUGUCACUUAUAGAUGGAUCCGCGCCGCAUUAGCUAGUUGGUAAGGUAACGGCUUACCAAGGCAACGAUGCGUAGCCGACCUGAGAGGGUGAUCGGCCACACUGGAACUGAGACACGGUCCAGACUCCUACGGGAGGCAGCAGUAGGGAAUCUUCCGCAAUGGGCGAAAGCCUGACGGAGCAACGCCGCGUGAGUGAUGAAGGUCUUCGGAUCGUAAAACUCUGUUAUUAGGGAAGAACAAAUGUGUAAGUAACUAUGCACGUCUUGACGGUACCUAAUCAGAAAGCCACGGCUAACUACGUG
This 497-nucleotide ribosomal RNA is filed under the name uncultured bacterium. RNAcentral's name for it is "partial 16S ribosomal RNA". It matches the Rfam family "Bacterial small subunit ribosomal RNA", at positions 28 to 507 of the family's 1533-position model. The record is from RNAcentral.